RNAcentral lists this ribosomal RNA (347 nucleotides) under uncultured fungus. RNAcentral describes it as "SSU rRNA". It matches the Rfam family "Eukaryotic small subunit ribosomal RNA", at positions 20 to 370 of the family's 1831-position model. Lineage: Eukaryota; Fungi. The record is from RNAcentral.
GUAGUCAUAUGCUUGUCUCAAAGAUUAAGCCAUGCAUGUCUAAGUAUAAGCACUUUAUACUGUGAAACUGCGAAUGGCUCAUUAAAUCAGUUAUCGUUUAUUUGAUAGUACCUUACUACAUGGAUACCUGUGGUAAUUCUAGAGCUAAUACAUGCUAAAAACCUCGACUUCGGAAGGGGUGUAUUUAUUAGAUAAAAAACCAAUGCCCUUCGGGGCUCCUUGGUGAAUCAUAAUAACUUAACGAAUCGCAUGGCCUUGCGCCGGCGAUGGUUCAUUCAAAUUUCUGCCCUAUCAACUUUCGAUGGUAGGAUAGUGGCCUACCAUGGUGGCAACGGGUAACGGGGAAU